GGCUCUGUCUGCUAAUGGUUAGGCAACUGGGCUUUCAACCCAAAAAUCGGGGUUCGAUUCCCCGCAGAGUCA
Molecule: transfer RNA, 72 nt
Filed under: Fodinibius sp.
Lineage: Bacteria; Pseudomonadati; Balneolota; Balneolia; Balneolales; Balneolaceae
Description: tRNA-Glu
Rfam family: tRNA
About the family: Transfer RNA (tRNA) molecules are approximately 80 nucleotides in length. Their secondary structure includes four short double-helical elements and three loops (D, anti-codon, and T loops).
Source: RNAcentral